RNAcentral lists this transfer RNA (74 nucleotides) under Patescibacteria group bacterium. RNAcentral describes it as "tRNA-Val". It matches the Rfam family "tRNA". From Rfam's summary of the family: Transfer RNA (tRNA) molecules are approximately 80 nucleotides in length. Their secondary structure includes four short double-helical elements and three loops (D, anti-codon, and T loops). Further hydrogen bonds mediate the characteristic L-shaped molecular structure. tRNAs have two regions of fundamental functional importance: the anti-codon, which is responsible for specific mRNA codon recognition, and the 3' end, to which the tRNAs corresponding amino acid is attached (by aminoacyl-tRNA synthetases). tRNAs cope with the degeneracy of the genetic code in two manners: having more than one tRNA (with a specific anti-codon) for a particular amino acid; and 'wobble' base-pairing, i.e. permitting non-standard base-pairing at the 3rd anti-codon position. The record is from RNAcentral.
GGGCUUGUAGCUCAGCUGGUUAGAGCGUUGCAUUGACAUUGCAGAGGUCAGAGGUUCGAGUCCUCUCAGGCCCA